GCGAUGGUGAGAAAUACUUCCAUUUUCUUGUGCAUGUUUCUUUCCUGAUGACUUUUGUGCAUGCCUGACCUUUCCUGAGCAGUACAUGGUGCAGGCCAGGAACAUAGAGCCAGUAUGGUUUUUCAUAGACUAGUCAGCACAGCCUGAAGCUUUCUGUGUCAAGUUCCAGCCUUAUGUAGGUGUCCAAGCAAGCAUAGCUUUGAGAGAAUUCUCACUAAGCUCAGAUCUUUUGGUAAGUGGUCAUCUCUGACAUGGGCCUGGAGUUUCAAUCCAUUUUUUUUUCAUGAGGCAAGAGGGAAGCCUUAUGAAAACCUUUGUAGUAAAGAAGAUAUUUUAACUGGCAAGUGAUCUAGUUAUUAAGCGUUUAGUUUGGUCGCAGGCAAUCUUGUUAGUUGCUUUUCUACUGGGAGUGUUUUUUAACCUACUGGGGCCUCUUGAACCCCUUUGCCAAUUAAGAAGUCGGAGGUAAGACUACUAUCAAAUUGCUCAUCAUUUAUGAAGGAAAGGUAAUCACAUUCAUACAGAAGCUAGUAGCUUUUUUUUUUUUUUUUUUAGGAAUUCUUAGUUUCAAAUAGCCAAAGAAACCAAUCAACCAAGAAAGCUGUUUAAGUAAUUGACAGAGGGGUUAAAAUUAAAAUUAAAACUAAACAGUGCAUGAGUACAUCGAAAAGUUGCUAUUGGUAACUACCUUGUAGGGGAGUUGUUCUGGAUUUUAUUAAAUUCAUUGUCUUUUGGGGACACGUUUUUGCCAGUGCAUGUUCCAGCAUCUAGAAUAGCAGGAUAAAACUGUUGAAAACUGGCUAAAACGGUGUAUUUCUACUUUGUUCUUUUCGUCUCGUUUUUAGACAAAAGGCUCAUUGUGUUGUGAAAGCUCAGGUCUUGUGUAACUUGUUGACUUUUUAUAUGUACAUAUCGGUCUUGCUAGAUUGCCUUCAUGGCAGUUCCGUGAGCCAGAUGGAAGAAAGGAAAGUUAUGGAAUACUACCAGUCGAUCUUCGCAGAGUUCAUGUAUUGGCGGGAGUUUAUUUUAUUUUGUUUCAUUUUUUUUGACAAAGGAGAGAGAGAAGAUACUACCUGUAAAGUCAACACUGUGCUGUUCUGCAAAAGAUUUUAAAUUCUAAAACUGGUAACUAUUUUUCCAAAGGUCAGCUGAUACUCUGUUUUCUAUUAUUUUCCUCAAAAUAUGGUUUAGGAAGAGGACUUUUGUUAUCCAUAUGUCCCCACUUAAGAAGCUGGAGAAAUUAACUUUGUAAGCAUGUCACAUCAUCAUUUGCAUUCUGUUGGCAGAGGAUCGUUGAGUAUUUCAGAGGAUGUGCUCUAUGAGCGGCUCAAAUAUUUGGGUUUUUGAAAAUGUAUAUUUAAUUAUAAGGAGUGCCUUUUGCAUUAAGCCAGUUCUGGAUCGCAAAAAUGAAAAAGCAGUAAGUCACGACUGAUCCCUAAGCAGGAACAAGUGGCCCUUAACCAUUCUGUUAUUCAUUUGUUUUGUCUAUGGCAAGAGCAAGUUAACUUUUAUUUUUACGCUUAUUGGCACAUAAAAGUGCAUCAAGGUGUGAAGAAAAAAAGUCUUUGCUAUAGUGCUUUCAAGGAGCAGCCUCCCAAAUCUUGUGUUUUUCUUUUAGAAAUAUAGGAAAAUCAUUUCUAAAUUACAGAGAAUGCUGUAAUUGGCUUACCUAUGUACUUGGGGGUAGCAACAAGUGAUGUAAGUCAAAUGUGUGCUUUCUUAUAAGGUAGCCCUAACAUGACAUGCCUGUGAAGUUUUUACCAUAGUGAGCAGGACAGACCCAUUCUACGUUUGGCUUCAGUUUUCUGUUAGAUCUAAAAGAAAUGCAGCUGUUUUUGCUAUUCCCAGUACCCGUGUUACCUUUGAUUGUUGAUGGCUUAUUUUUAUGCUUGUUGCUUCAAAUCCUUGGGCUAACAAAAGUUUCUGGUUGGUAUUAUUCCUGAAGGGGUGAUGUUGAUGAAAAGAUGUUUAAAAAGGUUGCUUACCAGAGUUUGCAUCUUUAUUGCUUAUGAAAAAUUCAUCGGCCGCUGUGUGGAUCAGACUACCUUUUGGUUUGGUUUUCGUGACGUAUCCCAGAAUUCCUCCUUACGCCUGAACAGGGGCCAAGUGUCUGGCCAUUGGUUUCUACUGGACGUCAGUAAUGUCUGCUGUUCUCCUGCAUAACUGAAAGGUUGCAAAAGAAAAUAGUAAGGAUCUUUUGUCUGAAAAUAUUUCAAAUUUGAUUUAAGCGAUUUUGAGACUUGUUAUUUGUGGAAGAGAAGCUGCCAAUACAAAUAUGAGGUAGAUGGGUCAACUUAUAUACAACUGAUUUGACAAGCAUCUGUUAUAAUGCUGAAGAUUUGUAAACACUAAACAAUGUUUUUACCUCCUUAAAAGUUUUGAGAACUUGCCAAUAUUGGCAGGAGGCAAAGCCUCUGAAACGUGCUUCAAGAUACAUGCCAGAACCAUUGUGGCCUUUUCACCUAUUGUGCAGUUUUUUUUUCUUUCUUUCAAAACGUAUUUUUUCCUCCUAAAAAGAUGUGCCUUUUCUUUCCCGUAAGAUGGCCACAGAAGUGAGAUCUUUUGCUUCCAAAAAUAGGUAUGCUAAUUAUUGUCUCAUUCAUCGGCAGCUUCUUGGUUUAAAAGUAAAAAUUUUAUAGAAUGUUGAAAGUAAAUGCAGACCUGAUCUUUUUUUUUUUUUUUUUAAGCAGAGGUGAUUUAUUUUAAGGCCUAUUGAGAUACUAAAAUACAAUACAUAAUUACAUUCCAAGUUUCUCCUUAAAUCCAGUGGUAUUAGAAUGGUGUGAAUUUCAUGGCCGAUAAAUAGUAACAAGUGUAUUGAAACUGGAGUCAUUUCAUAAGCCUGAGAAUUUCAUUUCAUUAGAGGUAUAAAAGACCAAAGCCAUGUUGUGCUCUUAGUUUGGUCUCUAUUUGAGUUGCCCUUCCAUGUAGCCUAUGUUGUGGUAUUGUGGCCAGUGUUUUUCUUUGUGGGUAUGGAACAGUAAAGCUAAUUUAUGACCAGCUUUUACCCGACGAUCUGUAUCAGAAUCUACACUAUACCCGGCACGUGGCAAGGUCACAAUUUAAGUUGUUAAGGUCACAACCUUCGCCACCAGGCAUUUGACCUUUUAGAUAAAGUUAACCUUUGUUCAUUAGUAGGCACUCAACCGAGAACUUUCUGGAGAGGUUUCUUUUCUUUUUCUUUUUUAAAAAACUGCUCCUGUAUAACUUCUGGUAAUAUAAUCAGUGUCUACAAAGAUUCUCACUUGAGUUAUUUAAGUUUUGUAAGAGGUUAUUAUUUUUUUUUUAAGGACUCCUUGUAUGGUUGGAGGUAGAUUGCUACAUUUACAACCUAGAAUGACAGUUAUCAUUUAUAUUUGGUAGUGAUUACCUGGUGUGGGGUACGAUGAAAGCUCUGAGGUCACCAAAUUUAAGAACUAAAAUGAAACAAACAGAAUUAGGUUUAAUUCAACAAAGACCUUUGCUAAUUUGCAGGUGGCAUUAGGCCCCAAGGCUAUAUCAUAUGGAAUGAUCUUCAUUUUGUUUUUGCAGGUGAAGAAUUUUCUAAAAUUGGAAACUAUUUUUUAGCAGUCUUAAAAUUUACUUUGAAAGACUAAUAAGUGACCAGACUCUCUCAGGUAAUUGUUGUUACUGUUAAUUAGCCAAUGAGUUAAAUGUGUAUUGAUAUUGUCCUAAUGGCAGUGUGAGAAUUCAGUUAUUUUUAAGGUGGGAAGUGAACACUCUGCCUGUCACCUUUGAGUAGAGUUGUCACUGCUUGCUUGACCCCCACUUGCUUUUGCUUGGGUCAGAAAUGGCAGAGGUCCCAUCCCUCAGGGAGAGAGCUGUUGAGGUGUCUCAGAAGCUUAGUACCUGGCACCAUAAACCUGUACAGCGCUGUUACCAGUUACCCCAUUACCUGCGCCAGAUUGUUCACUUAAUGAUGCUGUUGGGAAUGUUCAUUUUUUUAAAAAAUUAGUUAGGUCACUGCUAUGAUGUACCACAUAUUAUUUCAUUUUAGCCAAAAGAGAGAUACCUCCCAUUCAGGUGCAUUUUCGUUUUAUUUGGGGCUUCGUGCUUGCCAUUCCUUCAUAGACUUCUAGAGAAAGCCAUGAUAUGCAGAUAGACCAGAUGGUCCUGUUGACAGAUUGAGAAUUCACUUCCUACUGCUUCAGAGCAGGUGUAAGAUUGGGAGUGUCUGUGAGCGUGUGUUGCGCUUGCUGUGUGUGCACAUCCAGGCUGCAUCCCGGGCGCUGUGUAAGUAGUGGGAAUGAUUCCAGUAUGAAAAGCAAUGGAAAGAUGGCAUAACUAGUCUAUCCACAAGGUGACCAGUGCGUUCAGAAUGAUUGUGUAAAAAAUUUUUUUUAAGAUGAAUGGUGUCAUACUGUUAGUUUAUAGUUCUGUGCCCAAUUAUGACAGAGUCAUAAUUUUUAGGUACCAUAGCAUAUCAGUUUGAAGGCGUCUUGCAUAUCUACAAUGUAAUCAAUAUGUUCUACAAGCAGGCAUAUGUGCCUGUGCGUUUACAUCCAAGUCUCAGACUAUAUACACGCUGUAAUUAAAACUUCUUUUGUACUUUAAACUCCUUUGCAGAAAGUUGUGCAGUUAGUUCCUGUGAUUUGUGGUGAUAAAGUGUGUUUGGAAAAAGGAAUAAGACUAAUAAAUGGUGACAUCAGUAUUGUACUCUAUCUCAAAUUCUGACUGUAAUCUUAAGCCAACUCUACAGUGGAUUUUGUGGCUGAUGGACUGCACUGUAAAUUAUUUGUAUAUGCUCACACUAAGGAAUUUUUAUAUGUCUUUUAAAUGUUUCAAGAUAGCAAUCAACAAACUUGAGUGUUUUCUGUGUAACUUGAGAGUAGUAACAGUAUCCUUUGUCUAGAAUGUAGUAACAAAAUCCUGUACUGGGAAUGUAGUGAGAAUGAUAGAAGUUCAAAGGCAGAGAGUGCAAAGGAAGGAAGAAAGAGCAAAAGUUGUACCAGAUCAAACCUUUGAAUGGAGGUCAGUUCAUUUAUGGCUAAGAGGUUUGAGUGUGUUGGUUAGAAAUUUCCCAAUGCUGCUGGCAUGGAUUUGCCUUGUCUUCCUUCCCACCCAGUGAUGAAUAGCAUUAAUUUAAACCUAUUUAAGGCUGGUGUGGGAGAAACCACAGCUUUUGUUGUGGUUCGUUCAGUACACAGUAGGACUGGGUGUUUCACUUGGUUAGGGCCUCAAGCUGCUUCCAGAGGGCGCAGAACAGCCUGUCGGCUUUUAAAAUCAUACACAGAAGCAAUGACAAUUCUAAUUGCUCACAAAUGUCAAUAUAGAUUAUUGAAAACAAUUCUCAGGAUUAAAAUAAAAGAAAAAAACCCUCAUAAACUACAUACUGAAUUGAGUGAAUGUGCUAAACUCAGGUUUAUUAUCAUCCCAGCAGUAACUUCCCCAUCAUUAGAGGUCAGAGCUUCAUUCAAUAAAUAGUAACAAUUGUACGUCCUGGAGGG
Long non-coding RNA from Perognathus longimembris pacificus (Pacific pocket mouse), 5447 nucleotides. RefSeq lists it as uncharacterized. NCBI's taxonomy places the organism in Eukaryota, Metazoa, Chordata, Mammalia, Rodentia, Heteromyidae. The record is from RefSeq and is a predicted model, not a curated record. The transcript has 5 exons.